UCGGGAAUUUUGGGCUAUGGGCGAAAGCCUGACCCAGCAACGCCGCGUGAAGGAUGAAAUCCUUCGGGAUGUAAACUUCGCAAGAACGGGAAGAAUAAGUGAGAGCUAACAUCUCUUACGAUGACGGUACUGUUUGUAAGCUCCGGCUAACUCCGUGCCAGCAGCCGCGGUAAUACGGGGGGAGCAAGCGUUGUUCGGAUUUACUGGGCGUAAAGGGCGCGUAGGCGGCCACCGCAAGUCACUUGUGAAAUCUCCGGGCUUAACCCGGAAAGGUCAACUGAUACUGCGGGGCUAGAGUGCAGAAGGGGCAACCGGAAUUCUCGGUGUAGCGGUGAAAUGCGUAGAUAUCGAGAGGAACACCUGCGGCGAAGGCGGUUCUCUGGGCCUGACCUGACGCUGAGGAGCGAAAGCGUGGGGAGCGAAC
This 424-nucleotide ribosomal RNA is filed under the name uncultured bacterium. Its description in RNAcentral is "bacterial SSU rRNA". It matches the Rfam family "Bacterial small subunit ribosomal RNA", at positions 355 to 773 of the family's 1533-position model. The record is from RNAcentral.